CCUACGUGCGGCAGCAGUAGGGAAUCUUCCACAAUGGGCGAAAGCCUGAUGGAGCAACGCCGCGUGGGUGAAGAAGGUCUUCGGAUCGUAAAACCCUGUUGUUCGAGAAGAAAGUGCGUGAGAGUAACUGUUCACGUUUCGACGGUAUCUAACCAGACAGCCACGGCUCACUACGUGCCAGCAGCCGCGGUAAUACGUAGGUAGCAAGCGUUAUCCGGCUUUAUUGGGCGUCAAGGGAACGCAGGCGGUCUUUUAAGUCUGAUGUGAAAGCCUUCGGCUUAACCGGAGUAGUGCAUUGGAAACUGGGAGACUUGAGUGCAGACGAGGAGAGUGGAACUCCAUGUGUAGCGGUGAAAUGCGUAGAUAUAUGGAAGAACACCAGUGGCGAAAGCGGCUCUCUGGGCUGUAACUGACGCUGAGGUUCGAAAGCGUGGGUAGCAAACAGGAUUAGAUACCCCUGUAGUC
RNAcentral lists this ribosomal RNA (465 nucleotides) under uncultured bacterium. Its description in RNAcentral is "partial 16S ribosomal RNA". It matches the Rfam family "Bacterial small subunit ribosomal RNA", at positions 338 to 795 of the family's 1533-position model. The record is from RNAcentral.